GAUUAACGCUGGCGGUGCGCCUUAUACAUGCAAGUCGAACGGUCCGCAAGGACAGUGGCGAACGGGUGAGUAACACAUGGGUAACCUACCUCAAAGUGGGGAAUAACCCCGCGAAAGCGGGGCUAAUACCGCAUAAGCUCACGAGGUGCAAAUCCUCGCGAGAAAAGAUUUAUCGCUUUGAGAGGGGCCUGUGCCCGAUUAGCUUGUUGGUGGGGUAAUGGCCUACCAAGGCUGUGAUCGGUAGAUGGACUGAGAGGUUGACCAUCCACACUGGAACUGAGACACGGUCCAGACUCCUACGGGUGGCAG
Molecule: ribosomal RNA, 309 nt
Filed under: uncultured bacterium
Lineage: Bacteria
Description: bacterial SSU rRNA
Rfam family: Bacterial small subunit ribosomal RNA
Source: RNAcentral